RNAcentral lists this small nucleolar RNA (72 nucleotides) under Trypanosoma brucei. RNAcentral describes it as "Trypanosomatid snoRNA TB11Cs2H1". It matches the Rfam family "Trypanosomatid snoRNA TB11Cs2H1". The record is from Rfam by way of RNAcentral. Lineage: Eukaryota; Euglenozoa; Kinetoplastea; Trypanosomatida; Trypanosomatidae.
AAAGCUCUUUUAUGUAGUGUGCGUACCACGAAAGUAGCAGGUACUGCGACACGAAACUGGAGAGCGAGACUC